This 774-nucleotide ribosomal RNA is filed under the name uncultured Neocallimastigales. RNAcentral's name for it is "partial large subunit ribosomal RNA". It matches the Rfam family "Eukaryotic large subunit ribosomal RNA", at positions 24 to 642 of the family's 3401-position model. The record is from RNAcentral. Lineage: Eukaryota; Fungi; Neocallimastigomycota; Neocallimastigomycetes; Neocallimastigales.
UAUCUCUGUAGAGUCUGCAUAUCAAUAAGCGGAGGAAAAGAAACUAACAAGGAUUCCCCUAGUAACGGCGAGUGAAGCGGGAAGAGCUCAAAUUUGAAAUCUUCAAGGUCUUACCUUGACGAAUUGUAGUUUAAAGAAGUGUUUUCGGUUAGAGGAGUAGUAAAAGUUCUUUGGAAUAGGACAUCAUAGAGGGUGAGAAUCCCGUAUUUGACUAUUCUUUCUAGCUUUGUGAUACACUUUCAAAGAGUCGGAUUGUUUGGGAAUGCAGUCCAAAAUGGGUGGUAAAUUUCAUCUAAAGCUAAAUAUUGGCGAGAGACCGAUAGCGAACAAGUACCGUGAGGGAAAGAUGAAAAGAACUUUGAAAAGAGAGUUAAACAGUACGUGAAAUUGUCAAAAGGGAAGCGUUUGACACCAGUGUUGUUUUUCCGAAAAUCAAUUAAAAAUUGAUUCAUGCCAGGUUGUAUUGACCUUAUCAGCUUGCAAUUUGGUUUUGGGUCUCUUUUUGAUGCACUUUUCGGUUAACGAGUCAACAUCAAUUUCCUUUGCUGUAAAAAGGUAAGAGGAAGGUGGCUUCAAUUUCGGUUGAAGUGUUUAUAGCCUUUUAUCUCUGCAGUCGGGGAGAUUGAGGUCUGCAGCGUAGAUCCUUCGGGGCUAGAUACAUUUAUGCUAAGUUAUAGCUUUUCAUAGACAACUUGUUGACUAUGUUUAGUCAUGUAGCUUACUCGUAAGUGCUAUUUUACCUACGCUUAGGAUGUUGAGCGCAUGUCUCUCUCU